UACGUAGGGACCAAGCGUUGUUCGGAUUUACUGGGCGUAAAGGGCGCGUAGGCGGCCUGUUAAGUCGAACGUGAAAUCCCCGGGCUCAACCCGGGAACUGCGUCCGAUACUGGCAGGCUUGAAUCCGGGAGAGGGAUGUGGAAUUCCAGGUGUAGCGGUGAAAUGCGUAGAUAUCUGGAGGAACACCGGUGGCGAAGGCGGCAUCCUGGACCGGUAUUGACGCUGAGGCGCGAAAGCCAGGGGAGCAAACGGG
Molecule: ribosomal RNA, 253 nt
Filed under: uncultured bacterium
Lineage: Bacteria
Description: partial 16S ribosomal RNA
Rfam family: Bacterial small subunit ribosomal RNA
Source: RNAcentral